Xyrauchen texanus (razorback sucker) is the source of this 1909-nucleotide long non-coding RNA. RefSeq lists it as uncharacterized. The record is from RefSeq and is a predicted model, not a curated record. Lineage: Eukaryota; Metazoa; Chordata; Actinopteri; Cypriniformes; Catostomidae. The transcript is spliced from 3 exons.
CACCUGAAAGGCAUCACCCACCUUGCAAACUGUACUUCUCUCAUCCCCUUUUCUCUUCUAUCCUUCCUAAGUCUCUCUCUCUCUCUCUCUCUCUCUCUCUCUCUCUCUCUCUCUCAAUCUCUGCAUCAUCUUGUGUGAGCACAAAAUGGCUUCCAUCAGUACUGAUAAAAAGACCGACAAUCUGUCUCUCCAUGAUGUCAGGGAAAGGAAACGUUGAAGGAAACGUUGAAGGAAACGGGGCAGGCCAGUUGUAUGGCAGUCUUCCCACUCUGAGUCCUGCUGGUGUUGUUGCUCCCCUCCCCUUCGCUGCUCUCCUGCCCCCUUCCUCCCGUCACCAGAUGCAGCUUGCACAAAGCCACCAUCUUAGAUCAUGUGGGCAUUAAAUGGAAAAUAAGCAGUUUUCAAGUCAAGUUGAAAAUCGUGGAAUCCAUUAAAUGGAAGCUGAUUCACGUACCGACAGCUGAUGGAGUCACAUGGUUCUUUACUAUGCAUGUGCCCCAACAUCUGAUAUAAACAGCACUUUAAUUGUUCUUUAUAACUUCAAUCAUGGCAUUUGUGAAGCCUUCAUGUACUGUUACAGGGGCUGUAUGUUUCAUGAGUCUAGUGUGUGUGUGUGUAUGUAUGAUGUGUGUCUCCAUUUUUUAGCGUGUGUUUACUGUUGAGAAGAUGGGAGGGGAUAUUGCAGGAGACUUACUGUUGUACGGAUCUGGAUCAAAGUACUUAAAACAUUGUGCAUUUUAACAAAACACCUAGAAUUCUCAGCAUAAAACGCUUCUGUUUAGAUCAUUUUACUAUGGACAAUUUGUAGAAUUUUUUUUAAGGGUCAACCAUUUCAGUAGAAAGAAAGAAAAAUAAUUGAGGGAUAGAAUCUUAAAAACAAAUUAACCCAGGUCAACACUAAUCUGUCUUGUUAGACCUUUAUGAGUACAAUCUUUAGCAUAGUGCACUUUAUUAAGUCACAUCUAUUUUUUCUCCCAAUUUAUUUUUAGUUCAAUAGUUUUCAAUAUUAAAGGAAAAUGUAGAAACUUUCUGUGUACUGUACAUAAUGUAUUUCUUCAAUAACUGAUUACUAAUUUAUAUUUAACAUGAAAUACAGUAUUAGAAAUAACGUGUGAGGCUCUGUAGAUUCUGCAUGUAUGAAUGUGAAACCCACGGCAGCAGUGAACGGUUCUGCACUCUGAUUGGACAGCUCAGUGUGUUGUGCAUCACACACUUGUUGGAAAGAGAGCUGUUGUCUUUAAAUUCUAUGCAAUUGCGUUGAGCUUGCAAUCACCCGAAAGAGAAGGCAGAUCAGAGCAGUUGUUUAUGAUUCAAAGUACUUUACUGAAGACAUUUAUUGACAGCAAAUUAAAUCUUUUUUAAGGUGAGGAAGAGAAAAUAUUAAGCUGAAAUUUGUAUGCCCAGUAAAACUGGUUUCAACAAACUAACUUAAAUGUCCUUUUAGCUUUUUAAUUGUUUUAUAAUUUUGUUUUAGUUCAAUUUUCAUUUCAGAACUUCAUUUUAAAGGGGAUUAAAUGCUCUGUCUCUCUGUAUUUUGAGUUACAACCAGUUACAGCUGAAGACAAAAUGUCACUAUUGCUAUGCAAAUGUUUUACAGUUAUAUUUUAUUACAAUUUGAAGAGAAUUGUGCAAUGUAUUUUAUAAAUAGAUUUUUCCGUGCAUCAACAAUCAAGUGACUAUAAAGACAAUGAUUUGAUGACAUUUUUUCUAUGCUUUUUACUAUGCAAUUUUUUUUUUUUUUUUUUUUUUCAAUUGGUCAUAGUUCUGUAGUAAUAAUGGUAAUAUUUAAAAUCAUGUUUUCUUUUCAUUUUAAACUCUUUGAUUUUAUUAUUUUCCCUAUGGUAUGUUUUUUUUCAUGUUGCAGAUGAGUGCAAAUGUGUGAGUUUUUUGUUCAUAAUUUUACAAUUUU